This 217-nucleotide unclassified non-coding RNA is filed under the name Hevea brasiliensis (rubber tree). Lineage: Eukaryota; Viridiplantae; Streptophyta; Magnoliopsida; Malpighiales; Euphorbiaceae. The record is from RNAcentral.
CGUGGCAUAGAUAAGGUACACAGUAAUGUAGCCAAUCUCCAUGAAGAAUGUGAAGGAGUUGAUGGUGAUGAGAAGCGUGGAAUCGUCAUCAAAAAUUGCAUAGAACAACCACAGCAUAGCACUAAACAGUGCAAUCACAUAUGGAAUGGACUGGAAUCCUUCACUUGUUUUCUUCUUGAAAAUUUGGUAAAAAGUUGGAAGAGGAGCAAGGCAAACC